AGUACGGUGGCGGACGGGUGAGUAACGCGUAAAGAAUUUGCCCUUCAGACUGGGACAACUAACCGAAAGGUUAGCUAAUACCGGAUAUUAUGAGACCUUGGCAUCAAGGACUUAUGAAAGCUAUAUGCGCUGGAGGAGAACUUUGCGUCCCAUUAGGUAGUUGGUAGGGUAAUGGCCUACCAAGCCGACGAUGGGUAGCCGGCCUGAGAGGGUGAACGGCCACAAGGGGACUGAGACACGGCCCUUACUCCUACGGGAGGCAGCAGUGGGGAAUAUUGGACAAUGGACCAAAAGUCUGAUCCAGCAAUUCUGUGUGCACGAUGAAGGUCUUCGGAUUGUAAAGUGCUUUCAGGUGGGAAGAAGAAAGUGACGGUACCACCAGAAGAAGCGACGGCUAAAUACGUGCCAGCAGCCGCGGUAAUACGUAUGUCGCAAGCGUUAUCCGGAAUUAUUGGGCGUAAAGCGAGUCUAGGCGGCUUGUUAAGUCAGAUGUGAAAAUGCGGGGCUCAACUCCGUAUUGCGUUUGAAACUGGCAGGCUAGAGUACUGGAG
RNAcentral lists this ribosomal RNA (551 nucleotides) under Psychrilyobacter sp. 4SWWE-11. RNAcentral describes it as "bacterial SSU rRNA". It matches the Rfam family "Bacterial small subunit ribosomal RNA", at positions 89 to 654 of the family's 1533-position model. Lineage: Bacteria; Fusobacteriati; Fusobacteriota; Fusobacteriia; Fusobacteriales; Fusobacteriaceae. The record is from RNAcentral.